ACCUUUUGAAUUGAAGAGGCAAGAAAACUACAUACUACAUUUCUGAUACCCUUUUUUGCAGAAAGGAUACUUGAUACUUCAUUUAAAGCUGAGAGUUGUGUCUGUAUCUUCAAGACUUAGAUUCAGAGCUGAGUUACUUGGCUAUAUGAGGAAGCCUCUUUGCUGAUACAGAUCAUGUAGUGAUGGUGUGCGAAGUCCUAGACAGCAGCAAUUUGAUUCAACAACAUUCUGACAGUGGUGAGAGGCAGAAGCUCUCUUCUCUACACAACUCUAUGGGCUUACAUAUCUGAAAUUCAGUUGAAUUCAGACAAAAUUCAAGUGAUAUAGUGAAACGGAGUUUGUGAUGUCAACUUGCCUAAG
This 360-nucleotide long non-coding RNA is filed under the name Homo sapiens (human). RNAcentral's name for it is "HSALNT0348089". Lineage: Eukaryota; Metazoa; Chordata; Mammalia; Primates; Hominidae. The record is from RNAcentral.